This 492-nucleotide ribosomal RNA is filed under the name uncultured bacterium. Its description in RNAcentral is "partial 16S ribosomal RNA". It matches the Rfam family "Bacterial small subunit ribosomal RNA", at positions 29 to 507 of the family's 1533-position model. The record is from RNAcentral.
AGUGAACGCUGGCGGUAGGCCUAACACAUGCAAGUCGAACGGCAGCACAGUAAGAGCUUGCUCUUACGGGUGGCGAGUGGCGGACGGGUGAGGAAUACAUCGGAAUCUACUUUUUCGUGGGGGAUAACGUAGGGAAACUUACGCUAAUACCGCAUACGCCCUACGGGUGAAAGCAGGGGAUCUUCGGACCUUGCGCGAUUGAAUGAGCCGAUUUCGGAUUAGCUAGUUGGCGGGGUAAAGGCCCACCAAGGCGACGAUCCGUAGCUGGUCUGAGAGGAUGAUCAGCCACACUGGAACUGAGACACGGUCCAGACUCCUACGGGAGGCAGCAGUGGGGAAUAUUGGACAAUGGGCGCAAGCCUGAUCCAGCCAUAUCGCGUGGGUGAAGAAGGCCUUCGGGUUGUAAAGCCCUUUUGUUGGGAAAGAAAAGCAGCAGGUUAAUACCCCGCUGUUCUGACGGUACCCAAAGAAUAAGCACCGGCUAACUUCGUG